Molecule: ribosomal RNA, 229 nt
Filed under: uncultured bacterium
Lineage: Bacteria
Description: partial 16S ribosomal RNA
Rfam family: Bacterial small subunit ribosomal RNA
Source: RNAcentral
UGCGUAGGCGGAUAAAUAAGUCAGAGGUGAAAGCUCUCAGCUUAACUGAGGAACUGCCUUUGAUACUGUUUAUCUUGAAUUAUGUUGAGGUUAGCGGAAUGUGACAUGUAGCGGUGAAAUGCAUAGAUAUGUCAUAGAACACCAAUUGCGAAGGCAGCUAGCUAGGCAUAUAUUGACGCUGAGGCACGAAAGCGUGGGGAGCGAACAGGAUUAGAUACCCUGGUAGUCC